UCCGGUAUGGUGUAACGGUCAACAUUACCGCUUUUCAAUUUGGAUUACGUAAGCAUUUACGUAAACCAUUACACCAAACCGAAAAGCGCGGUAGCUCGGGGUUCGAUUCCCCGUACCGGAA
This is a non-coding RNA of Mycena vulgaris, 121 nucleotides long. The record is from the annotation of a GenBank genome assembly. Lineage: Eukaryota; Fungi; Basidiomycota; Agaricomycetes; Agaricales; Mycenaceae.